ACCCCAGUUACAGCCAAUAGGGAGCAAGCAGUGUCCGACACCAGGAAACCCUUGAAUGGUGGGAGGAGAGGGGCUCUCCAACCAUCACAAGCAACAGGAGAGGGAGGGAAGGGGGCUCUCUCGAACCAUUGUGAGAGACCAAGAGACGGCCUUGUACGAAACCCUCCUAUACCCCAAAAAAUGAAACUCUCAACUCUGUCGACUCGAAUAUAUGUGGGUUGAACUCGAAUAUAUGGGCUAAAUCAUGCUAGUAACCAACUAGUCCAGUUCAGUACGCCCGAACCAACCGGUUUGGCACGAUUCGGCAAUCCUUGGUUUCAACCAAAUGGGUCGGUUAAGUUUCGCUAACAUAGUUUAAUUUGGAUAUGACUUCUUUCAAGAUAUGUAAAAUGUUUAAAAUCAAACUUGACAAGCCGGUGGAGAAUAGUUUUGGGCAAAAGCAAGCAUAUUUAACCACUCUUCUACACUAUUGAAAUGGUAAUACAUAUAGAAGCAUUAGAAUGCACAUAGUAAAAGCCUAAUCAUGAUAUCACCUCCCUUCACUCAAUUAAAGAAAUAUGAAUAACCAGCGGAGACCGCAUUAUAGAGCCCACAUGUCCACAAUAGAGCAGAGUUCUAGGUCUACGGAGUGUAAAGUUCUAGAGUAUGUUCAUUUUUCUCACUGAUGCAGUGAGGACCAAAGUGAGAGACAGAGAACUGAUCUAAUGGAUGAUAAAAUACAUAGAUAUCUUGACAGUCAAAAUCAAUGCUAGGCAUUGGACUAUUGUUGGUUACUCAAGUCUGAUAGCAGGAAGGCUAUCUGUUUGGAUCACAGAGAGCCAUGCUCAUCUCAUCCCCAUGCACUAUAUCAGAGAUAUGAUCCCAUUCAAUAUACCACAUCAGAAUCCCCAUGCGACAACUUAUAUUCCACUUGUUUCUAGCAUACUAUAUACAGGUCAGAUCUCUUCAAUGUAAAAAUCUAACAGGAAAUUUUGCACCCCAUAAGAAUAAAUUUAUGAAAAUUUUUUGUAUAAAAGGCACUAGUAUUGGACAUGCAAUGCACCCAGGAGGAACAAGGAUGAGAGGAGAGAGCCAAUGUGGUCAUAAAUGCCAUUCAAUUUUAAGUGGCAGUUAUUGUUGCACUGAAUAGGCCCCCACUCUUUUUUAUGCACAAAUUAUAAUCUGCCAUUCUGUUAUUUCUAGGACUCACCAAUACCAUGCAAUGAAGGGUCCUAUACCUCCAAAGGAAAAGGUUGGAAACCUCGGACUCGCCCAAGUGCUCCCCAUACCUCCAAAUGUCUGAAGACCUCUGAACAACUCUUUCAUAAGGAGAUGUUCCUCGCUCAAUCAUUCAGCUUCCUUCCCUGCCUGAUGCAGGGGCAACACAGGAGACUAAUCA
RNAcentral lists this long non-coding RNA (1378 nucleotides) under Phoenix dactylifera (date palm). RNAcentral describes it as "long non-coding RNA (PDAC_LNC001612)". Lineage: Eukaryota; Viridiplantae; Streptophyta; Magnoliopsida; Arecales; Arecaceae. The record is from RNAcentral.